This 480-nucleotide ribosomal RNA is filed under the name uncultured bacterium. RNAcentral describes it as "partial 16S ribosomal RNA". It matches the Rfam family "Bacterial small subunit ribosomal RNA", at positions 28 to 507 of the family's 1533-position model. The record is from RNAcentral.
GACGAACGCUGGCGGCGUGCUUAACACAUGCAAGUCGAACGAUGAAGAAAAGAAUCGAAGCUUCGGCAGAAAUUCAUUUCGGAUUAGUGGCGGACGGGUGAGUAACGCGUGAGCAACCUACCUCUUACAAAGGGAUAGCCUCGGGAAACCGGGAUUAAUACCAUAUAACAUUGUGACGAAGCAUUUCGAUGCAAUCAAAGCUACGGCGGUAAGAGAUGGGCUCGCGUCCCAUUAACCGGAUGGUGAGGUAACGGCUCACCAUAGUGACGAUGGGUAACCGGCCUGAGAGGGUGAACGGUCACACUGGAACUGAGACACGGUCCAGACUCCUACGGGAGGCAGCAGUGGGGAAUAUUGCACAAUGGAGGGAACUCUGAUGCAGCGACGCCGCGUGAGUGAUGAAGGAAUUCGUUUCGUAAAACUCUGUUCUAUGGGAAGAAAAGGACUGUACCAUAGGAGAAAGCUCCGGCUAAAUACGUG